UGGGGAAUAUUGCACAAUGGGCGCAAGCCUGAUGCAGCCAUGCCGCGUGUGUGAAGAAGGCCUUCGGGUUGUAAAGCACUUUCAGCGGGGAGGAAGGCGAUAAGGUUAAUAACCUUGUCGAUUGACGUUACCCGCAGAAGAAGCACCGGCUAACUCCGUGCCAGCAGCCGCGGUAAUACGGAGGGUGCAAGCGUUAAUCGGAUUUACUGGGCGUAAAGCGCACGCAGGCGGUCUGUCAAGUCGGAUGUGAAAUCCCCGGGCUCAACCUGGGAACUGCAUUCGAAACUGGCAGGCUAGAGUCUUGUAGAGGGGGGUAGAAUUCCAGGUGUAGCGGUGAAAUGCGUAGAGAUCUGGAGGAAUACCGGUGGCGAAGGCGGCCCCCUGGACGAAGACUGACGCUCAGGUGCGAAAGCGUGGGGAGCAAACAGG
RNAcentral lists this ribosomal RNA (429 nucleotides) under Chloroflexota bacterium. RNAcentral describes it as "Chloroflexi bacterium partial 16S ribosomal RNA". It matches the Rfam family "Bacterial small subunit ribosomal RNA", at positions 355 to 776 of the family's 1533-position model. Lineage: Bacteria; Bacillati; Chloroflexota. The record is from RNAcentral.